RNAcentral lists this ribosomal RNA (253 nucleotides) under uncultured bacterium. Its description in RNAcentral is "partial 16S ribosomal RNA". It matches the Rfam family "Bacterial small subunit ribosomal RNA", at positions 524 to 776 of the family's 1533-position model. The record is from RNAcentral.
UACGAAGGGGGCUAGCGUUGCUCGGAUUCACUGGGCGUAAAGGGUGCGUAGGUGGUGAGAUAAGUCGGAUGUGAAAUCUCCAAGCUCAACUUGGAAACUGCAUUGGAAACUAUCUUGCUAGAGGGUUUGAGGGGGGACUGGAAUACUUGGUGUAGCAGUGAAAUGCGUAGAUAUCAAGUGGAACACCAGUGGCGAAGGCGAGUCCCUGGAAAAUACCUGACACUGAGGCACGAAAGCUAGGGGAGCAAACAGG